GCUAUUUUCUUCAGAAGCGGUUUUACCCAAUUUCAUUUUGUUUUAAGUUACAUUAUCUUCACAUUAUAUUUAUGUUCAUACAGUGAAGAGAAUAACUGUAUCAAUAAUCAGAGAUUUCGUAUAAUUCAUUUUAUAUUGCCAUUAACAAAUAAUAAAUAUACAAAAAAUAAAUAUAACAGAAACAUUUUGCACUAUUUAAUGUAAUAUAAACAAUUUUUUAAAGUUGUCGAUGUGUUGUUGUUCAUCUAUAACGUAGAAUAUUCAUUGGUACAGUUUUUCAGGAUAUUUUUAUCAAUAUGAUUUUCUAGUUUUAAUAAUAUACGGGUGAAUAACAACACAUGGAAAUUUAAAAAAAUGGAAUAUGUUACAUUAAAUAGUGUAAAAUGUUCCUGUUAUAUGUAUUUUUUGUAUCCCUUAAUGUUAAUGACAAUAUAAAAUGAAUUAUAUGAAACCUGUGGUUAUUAGUACAGUUAUGCUCUUCACUAUAUGUAUAUUAUUUCAUAUAAAACAGGUGAUUGAAUCAAACGUUAUAAUACUUUAUGUAUCUUAUUAACUGCGCAACCAUGCCAGUGUCCCUUCCAAGUGGCGCAUGCGCCUCGUUAAAAGGACUUUAUUUUGAUAUGACUUGCACAAAGAUCGCUGCAAUACUGUCGUUUCGGGCUGCACCGGAGUGCAGUGUUAAACAAAAUACAAUCUGCACCUCAGUGCAGUAUCAUGCAACGGAUAUAUCGGUAUGUAGUCGACCAUUAUAAAUUACGCUAUUAAACAUACCAUGAGCGGCAAGGAUAGUGGCCAAACAACGCGCCACAGCACGAUUCGGAGCACACGCCAGUGCAGGAGUUAAACCUUCCCCAUCGACAGCCACAACGCU
Long non-coding RNA from Hylaeus volcanicus, 871 nucleotides. RefSeq lists it as uncharacterized. The transcript is spliced from 3 exons. Lineage: Eukaryota; Metazoa; Arthropoda; Insecta; Hymenoptera; Colletidae. The record is from RefSeq and is a predicted model, not a curated record.